Molecule: ribosomal RNA, 533 nt
Filed under: Listeria monocytogenes
Lineage: Bacteria; Bacillati; Bacillota; Bacilli; Caryophanales; Listeriaceae
Description: partial 23S ribosomal RNA
Rfam family: Bacterial large subunit ribosomal RNA
Source: RNAcentral
GACGGUAACAGCCCGGUAGUUGAAAUGGCUUUCCCUCCAGAGUGGAUCCUGAGUACGGCGGAACACGUGAAAUUCCGUCGGAAUCCGGGAGGACCAUCUCCCAAGGCUAAAUACUCCCUAGUGACCGAUAGUGAACCAGUACCGUGAGGGAAAGGUGAAAAGCACCCCGGAAGGGGAGUGAAACAGUUCCUGAAACCGUGUGCCUACAAGUAGUUAGAGCCCGUUAAUGGGUGAUAGCGUGCCUUUUGUAGAAUGAACCGGCGAGUUACGAUUUGUUGCAAGGUUAAGCGGAAAAAGCGGAGCCGUAGCGAAAGCGAGUCUGAAUAGGGCGCAUAAGUAACAGGUCGUAGACCCGAAACCAGGUGAUCUACCCAUGUCCAGGAUGAAGGUAAGGUAAUACUUACUGGAGGUCCGAACCCACGCACGUUGAAAAGUGCGGGGAUGAGGUGUGGGUAGCGGAGAAAUUCCAAUCGAACUUGGAGAUAGCUGGUUCUCUCCGAAAUAGCUUUAGGGCUAGCCUCGAGGUAAAGAGU